Molecule: small nuclear RNA, 103 nt
Organism: Cavia porcellus (domestic guinea pig)
Lineage: Eukaryota; Metazoa; Chordata; Mammalia; Rodentia; Caviidae
Source: Ensembl
UUGCUUUGGCAGCACAUAUACUAAACUUGGAAUGAUACAGAGAAGAUUAGCAAGGCCCCUGUGCAAGGAUGACACGCAAAUUCAUGAAGCGUUCCAUAUUUUG